UUAAGCCAUGCGAGUCGAACGAGUUUAGGCUCGUAGCGUACGGCUCAGUAACACGUGGAUAACCUACCCUUAGGACUGGGAUAACCCUGGGAAACUGGGGAUAAUACUAGAUAGGCAAUUUUUCCUGGAAUGGUUUUUUGUUUAAAUGUUUUUUCGCCUAAGGAUGGGUCUGCGGCCGAUUAGGUAGUUGGUUAGGUAACGGCUUACCAAGCCAUUGAUCGGUACGGGUUGUGAGAGCAAGAGCCCGGAGAUGGAACCUGAGACAAGGUUCCAGGCCCUACGGGGUGCAGCAGGCGCGAAACCUCCGCAAUGUGAGAAAUCGCGACGGGGGGAUCCCAAGUGCCAUUCUUAACGGGAUGGCUUUUCAUUAGUGUGAAGAGCUUUUGGAAUAAGGGCUGGGCAAGACCGGUGCCAGCCGCCGCGGUAA
Molecule: ribosomal RNA, 427 nt
Filed under: uncultured archaeon
Lineage: Archaea
Description: bacterial SSU rRNA
Rfam family: Archaeal small subunit ribosomal RNA
Source: RNAcentral